RNAcentral lists this long non-coding RNA (553 nucleotides) under Hordeum vulgare. RNAcentral describes it as "long non-coding RNA (HVUL_LNC021113)". Lineage: Eukaryota; Viridiplantae; Streptophyta; Magnoliopsida; Poales; Poaceae. The record is from RNAcentral.
AAACAAAGAUAGAUGUUGAGGAGGAAGACCUGGAUAGGGAGCCGGUUACGAAUAAAUCUGGGACUAGGAAACCCCAAACUACGAAUGGAAACACUUUUUCAAGCAGGGGUAAACGGAUCUGGUUAGGAAGCCGGAGAUGGAAGAGAGGGUGUCGUGUCGGAUCUUCAAUCGGGGCAAACAACGGAUGCUCAGGAUAAAGCUGGACUUCGAUUAGUUUUUGAUGGAUAUGAGCUUUCCCUGAAUAAGGAUCAAAAUAUGCUUCCUAAAACAGCAUGCGCAAUGGUGGGCCGAGUACAUAUCAUAGCGUAUAUCAAGUAUCCAACACCUUCCGAAUAAGGAAUGGAAGCCGACUUAAUAAAACUACAUCUUGCUGAUGUAGGUGUAGACAGGUAUUCUAAAAGGAGUGACAAUAUUGGGUGUAAGGAUUCUUCUAUGCAAACAUUGACCACUCGUAUGGUAGCCUCACAACCAUCUACAAGGGAGACUUCCACCUCAACCUGAAGUUCACCCACGUGGAGCCUUUACUAGUCGGAGUGGUAAGACUACAACCGNN